CAAAAGGAACAGUCAACUCUAGGUGAACGAGAUAUCUUCUCUGAAACUGAUUUGUCUGUUAUAACCUUGCAUGCCAAGUGAGGAAAACUGCAUAGAAAUAGUUGACAUUUUGGAAUAGUGUAACCAUAAUAGAUAUACUUUCUCAUAAAACAAAACCAUUAAGAAAUGACUUAACACAACUAACAACAAGGUUCAUGACUUGGAACAGGCCGAUAACUGAAGAAGGGUUAAAAAUAAAUAUUAUUAAUAUUUUCCUCUUAAAUAUCAGUCAGUGAAUUAAAGUUAACACAAAGGA
Molecule: long non-coding RNA, 295 nt
Filed under: Mytilus galloprovincialis (Mediterranean mussel)
Lineage: Eukaryota; Metazoa; Mollusca; Bivalvia; Mytilida; Mytilidae
Source: RNAcentral